Molecule: non-coding RNA, 26 nt
Filed under: Callithrix jacchus (white-tufted-ear marmoset)
Lineage: Eukaryota; Metazoa; Chordata; Mammalia; Primates; Cebidae
Also listed under: 4 other names
Source: RNAcentral
CUUCUCACUACUGCACUUGACUAGUC